Molecule: long non-coding RNA, 649 nt
Organism: Passer montanus (Eurasian tree sparrow)
Lineage: Eukaryota; Metazoa; Chordata; Aves; Passeriformes; Passeridae
Exons: 3
Source: RefSeq, a predicted model, not a curated record
GGGGGCAGAGCAGAGGUGCCCAAAAAUCAAACCCAAACAAUAAAAUCAUUGCUUACCACUACACUUUAUAUGCCUACUGAUACCAGAGCCUCCCUCAUCACCAGUCUGAGGGGCAAGUGAGGAUGGCUGAGGCAAUUAUUAAACCAAAAUGAGAAAGUAAUUACAGCUGUGGACUCUAAUUACUGCAAGUGAAAACAUUUCAGCUGGAAAAUUCUCAUCAUUGCAAUACUGACCUUUGCAAAGGGCUUUAAAUCCUUGAGUGGAAGUAGCAGGGCCGCUGCCAUGCAAGGUUAAAGCAGCCGAGCUGGACCUGCUGGGAUGUUGUGCACGGAUGGGCUGGGUGUGCUGCUGGAAACUGGGAUUUAUGGGGUUUCUCUGAGGAGUUGGUGGUGCAGAGGUGAACCUCAGGGUGAAGCUCCACAAGAUAUUUCCUUGGAUAAGAGAGAAUUGCCACCAUGCAACCCCUCCUUGCUGUGAACACACACACGGAGCACCAGCCAGCCUUCGGAAUUCCCAGCUCCUCUUUCACUGCCCAGAUGUGUGUGGGGAUUGUCUCAGUGUCCUGUUACAGGAGAACUGGGGCCAGGUUUCACCCUCCACCACCUGCCCCGAGGUGGCUGGUGAUAUUCAGAUCUGGGCAGAUUCUCCC